This is a long non-coding RNA of Ostrea edulis (European flat oyster), 924 nucleotides long. RefSeq lists it as uncharacterized. The transcript has 3 exons. NCBI's taxonomy places the organism in Eukaryota, Metazoa, Mollusca, Bivalvia, Ostreida, Ostreidae. The record is from RefSeq and is a predicted model, not a curated record.
ACUUCGAAGCGUAAAAAGUGUGAAUUAGCUCAUUUACUUUGAAUUGCCUGCGCUACCGCCGCAUUAUGACGAAAAAGAACACAGAACUUUGUGAGAAAGCAACGAAUUUCAACGUAUACGUAUGCCUGCCAACGGCAUGUCGAUCAACUGUACCGUUAUUCAGUGUUGUUUACAAAUCCAAAUGGAAGGUUCAUCAAAUUUAACGUAUUUGACUUGUGCAUGGAUCUGCGAUGCUGUAGGUGUUCAAAAAGAAGUCGGCAUGGACUGACAAGGUCAUAAAGGUGGUCAAGAAAUAAAUUGCCAACAGACAGCAGCAUUCCUUGAUUUAGAUGCAUUUCUCUUCAUGUCCUCUCCUGAAAGAUUUUCCAUGAUGCCUCAUGGUUAGGAUUGGGAUGCAAGAUGUACAGUACAUAUAUAUGAUGUCUAUGGGUACAUUGCUGUAAUGGCCUGAAAAAUCUUUUGCGAAACCGAGAAAUGUUCAUCUUCCAUUGCCAUGAUUGUGUAAAAGGACGAGCAGAGGAAUGAUUCAAAAAUAUAUGGCAGGAUUGAGAAUCUAACCCAUGACCCAUAGUCUGGUACUCUACCCACUGACCAAUCCAUGCUGAUGGUCCAUCUGCUACAUUGAUGUCAUCUUAUAUAUUUAUUUAUUCAUUUAUAUCAUAUGGACAUUUAAAAAUUGACAGUAAAAUAAAAAAAAGUUUGAUAUUCAGCAAAAUAGAAUUUGUUACAAUACAUGUUUAAGAAAUUAAGUACAUGUACAUGCAUUGUUAUGCAUACAAUUAUGUACAUGUAAUUAUAUUUGUUAAUAGAUAAAUUUUUAGAUGAAUUUUCAUGUUGUUAUUGAUAUUGACAUGUACAUGUAUUACUUCCAUUUCUAGAAUGAUUUUAACAUCUUGAUAUUAAAAAGAUGACAUAAUAAAUAAA